AUAACACUUGGAAACAGGUGCUAAUACCGCAUAACCAUAGUUACCGCAUGGUAACUAUGUAAAAGGUGGCUAUGCUACCGCUUUUGGAUGGGCCCGCGGCGCAUUAGCUAGUUGGUGGGGUAAAGGCUUACCAAGGCAAUGAUGCGUAGCCGAACUGAGAGGUUGAUCGGCCACAUUGGGACUGAGACACGGCCCAAACUCCUACGGGAGGCAGCAGUAGGGAAUCUUCCACAAUGGGCGAAAGCCUGAUGGAGCAACGCCGCGUGGGUGAAGAAGGUCUUCGGAUCGUAAAACCCUGUUGUUAGAGAAGAAAGUGCGUGAGAGUAACUGUUCACGUUUCGACGGUAUCUAACCAGAAAGCCACGGCUAACUACGUGCCAGCAGCCGCGGUAAUACGUAGGUGGCAAGCGUUAUCCGGAUUUAUUGGGCGUAAAGGGAACGCAGGCGGUCUUUUAAGUCUGAUGUGAAAGCCUUCGGCUUAACCGGAGUAGUGCAUUGGAAACUGGGAGACUUGAGUGCAGAAGAGGAGAGUGGAACUCCAUGUGUAGCGGUGAAAUGCGUAGAUAUAUGGAAGAACACCAGUGGCGAAAGCGGCUCUCUGGUCUGUAACUGACGCUGAGGUUCGAAAGCGUGGGUAGCAAACAGGAUUAGAUACCCUGGUAGUCCACGCCGUAAACGAUGAAUGCUAAGUGUUGGAGGGUUUCCGCCCUUCAGUG
This 716-nucleotide ribosomal RNA is filed under the name uncultured bacterium. Its description in RNAcentral is "bacterial SSU rRNA". It matches the Rfam family "Bacterial small subunit ribosomal RNA", at positions 143 to 845 of the family's 1533-position model. The record is from RNAcentral.